RNAcentral lists this ribosomal RNA (446 nucleotides) under uncultured bacterium. RNAcentral describes it as "partial 16S ribosomal RNA". It matches the Rfam family "Bacterial small subunit ribosomal RNA", at positions 338 to 795 of the family's 1533-position model. The record is from RNAcentral.
CCUACGGGUGGCAGCAGUCGAGAAUCAUUCACAAUGGGGGAAACCCUGAUGGUGCGACGCCGCGUGGGGGAAUGAAGGUCUUCGGAUUGUAAACCCCUGUCAUGUGGGAGCAAAUUAAAAAGAUAGUACCACAAGAGGAAGAGACGGCUAACUCUGUGCCAGCAGCCGCGGUACUACAGAGGUCUCAAGCGGUGUUCGGAAUCACUGGGCGUAAAGCGUGCGUAGGCUGUUUCGUAAGUCGUGUGUGAAAGGCGCGGGCUCAACCCGCGGACGGCACAUGAUCCUGCGAGACUAGAGUAAUGGAGGGGGAACCGGAAUUCUCGGUGUAGGAGUGAAAUGCGUAGAUAUCGAGAGGAACACUCGUGGCGAAGGCGGGUUCCUGGACAUUAACUGACGCUGAGGCACGAAGGCCAGGGGAGCGAAAGGGAUUAGAUACCCCGGUAGUC